GGGGGAACUGAAACAUCUAAGUACCCCGAGGAAAAGAAAUCAACCGAGAUUCCCCCAGUAGCGGCGAGCGAACGGGGAGGAGCCCAGAGCCUGAAUCAGUGUGUGUGUUAGUGGAAGCGUCUGGAAAGGCGCGCGAUACAGGGUGACAGCCCCGUACACAAAAAUGCACAUAUUGUGAGCUCGAUGAGUAGGGCGGGACACGUGGUAUCCUGUCUGAAUAUGGGGGGACCAUCCUCCAAGGCUAAAUACUCCUGACUGACCGAUAGUGAACCAGUACCGUGAGGGAAAGGCGAAAAGAACCCCGGCGAGGGGAGUGAAAAAGAACCUGAAACCGUGUACGUACAAGCAGUGGGAGCCUCUUAAUGGGGUGACUGCGUACCUUUUGUAUAAUGGGUCAGCGACUUAUAUUCUGUAGCAAGGUUAACCGAAUAGGGGAGCCGAAGGGAAACCGAGUCUUAACUGGGCGUUAAGUUGCAGGGUAUAGACCCGAAACCCGGUGAUCUAGCCAUGGGCAGGUUGAAGGUUGGGUAACACUAACUGGAGGACCGAACCGACUAA
Molecule: ribosomal RNA, 558 nt
Filed under: Escherichia coli
Lineage: Bacteria; Pseudomonadati; Pseudomonadota; Gammaproteobacteria; Enterobacterales; Enterobacteriaceae
Description: partial 23S ribosomal RNA
Rfam family: Bacterial large subunit ribosomal RNA
Source: RNAcentral